AGCAGCCGCGGUAAUUCCAGCUCCAAUAGCGUAUAUUAAAAGUUGUUGCAGUUAAAAGCUCGUAGUUGAAUUUCGGGGUCAGUAGAUUGGUCGUGCCACUGGUAUGUACUGGUCUCACUGAUUCCUCCUUCCUGAUGAGCCGUAAUGCCAUUAAUUUGGUGUUGCGGGGAAUCUGGACUGUUACUUUGAAAAAUUAGAGUGUUUAAAGCAGGCUAACGCUUGAAUACAUUAGCAUGGAAUAAUGGAAUAGGACGUUCGAUCCUAUUUUUGUUGGUUUCUAGGAUUGACGUAAUGAUUAAUAGGGAUAGUUGGGGCAUUAGUAUUCAAUUUGUCAGAGGUGAAAUUCUUGGGAUUUAUUGAAGACUAACUACUGCGAAAGCAUU
This 383-nucleotide ribosomal RNA is filed under the name uncultured Glomeromycotina. RNAcentral's name for it is "SSU rRNA". It matches the Rfam family "Eukaryotic small subunit ribosomal RNA", at positions 569 to 955 of the family's 1831-position model. The record is from RNAcentral. Lineage: Eukaryota; Fungi; Glomeromycota.